This is a long non-coding RNA of Schistocerca gregaria, 526 nucleotides long. RefSeq lists it as uncharacterized. The transcript has 4 exons. Lineage: Eukaryota; Metazoa; Arthropoda; Insecta; Orthoptera; Acrididae. The record is from RefSeq and is a predicted model, not a curated record.
GAGUUGUGUAUCAAGGCGUUAGUUCUGCAUCAGGGCGCCGAGGUUAGUAUUGCUCUAAUUUGUUUUACAUAGAGGCUUCUUAUCAAAACAACAUGACUGGUGAUCAUUUGUACGGAAAGGACGUUCACACCGCGAGGCAUCACUGGCUAAAAACGAAGUCUAUAUAUCCUAUCAUAGCCUUAUGUGUUGCCGGCUUCUGUCUGUCAACCCUUACCUGCGGGAAGCUCCUGGUCGGUAACUCAGCUGUUUCGUUGGAUCGCAAGACGAUUGGUAAGUGGAAUCAGUCCGUUCCGAACAUGUGGAAAAUUCACUCCGGGAACGAAGAGGCGCAGAAGGAGGACGUAUUACCUCCCGCCGAUGCAUGAACUGGCUCAUCUGAAAGUCGUGUGCCCUUGGUCACAACAACACAACUAUGUGCAUCCUAAGACCUCGUCACAUGAGUGGCUUGCGUUACCGUAUGACUAGCCUGUAUAUAUAUAGUAUAUAUACAUAUGGUGUAAUAUAGCAUGCCAUUCUAUAUUUAUUA